Long non-coding RNA from Triticum aestivum (bread wheat), 946 nucleotides. RefSeq lists it as uncharacterized. The record is from RefSeq and is a predicted model, not a curated record. The transcript has 5 exons. NCBI's taxonomy places the organism in Eukaryota, Viridiplantae, Streptophyta, Magnoliopsida, Poales, Poaceae.
CUGUGUGUGAUCCAUUGCUCUAGGUAGAAACAUCAUGGAACCGUAGUGUUAAUUUUUAUGCCCUACAUUCUACCGCAAAUACAUUUCGAUUUGCAUAUUUUGAGUCCUGCUACUACUAAUUUGACUUAUGAUGUCCAUGGUUUAGGAUGAUUAGUCGCAGCUCACUUCUAUCAUGAGUUUCUUAUUUGCAGGUGAUGAUCUUGCUGCAACUUGUUUGCUGCCUUGGUUUACAGUGAGCUAGCUGCUGCAGCCCUUUUGUUUCUUUAGAGGACACAGAAGAAACGCCGCCAUGGAAUCAGGCAACCAAUAACCAGAGCGCAGCUGUCAACUCAUUUUAUUCAUUGGCCAGACUACGAAGCAUGGAAAGAGCAUCCAGGAGGAAAUAAUAUGCGUACACCAUGAUGGACACUGAGAAAUCUGACAUACAGUUAUGGCGUUGUGCGGUUGGAGAUGCUAAUAGGUAGUGCACAUGUGCAACAAAUAUAACUGGGAGGUGAUCCUGUAACAUGGGCAAAAAAUUACAUCAGGGACAAUUCUCUGGGCCCAGGGAUCCUCGACACUAAUCUGGAUUUGGAAGAUAAAGCUGCUGUCGAUCAUUGAUUUCUUGAAAAUUGCUCUGCUAUGUAGUUACCUGUCGCUGUAUGAGAGAUUGUCGGCAUGUUGUACUUAUGUUAAGCGAGUCGAAAGAUAGGGCCUGGGCGAGCUCCACAUCCUUGUCUGCUUCUGAUCAUUCUUCCAAGAAGGAUAGCUCAUGAUGUAUGUUUAUAUAAGUUCGGUUAGUGAAGGCAAUACCCGUUGUUCCCUUUACCUUGUUAUUACUUAUGGUGGGGAUUUGUGGAGUCUGCACUCAUUCUUUCAAACUGGAAUACCAGUUUUUUGUGAUGUUUAUUUCUCCAGGAUCCUAGCCCCUGUGCUCCUUUAGCUGAAGUGGAAACAUUUUUGACAA